RNAcentral lists this ribosomal RNA (429 nucleotides) under Gemmatimonadota bacterium. RNAcentral describes it as "Gemmatimonadetes bacterium partial 16S ribosomal RNA". It matches the Rfam family "Bacterial small subunit ribosomal RNA", at positions 355 to 776 of the family's 1533-position model. The record is from RNAcentral. Lineage: Bacteria; Pseudomonadati; Gemmatimonadota.
UAGGGAAUCUUCGGCAAUGGACGAAAGUCUGACCGAGCAACGCCGCGUGAGUGAAGAAGGUUUUCGGAUCGUAAAACUCUGUUGUUAGAGAAGAACAAGGACGUUAGUAACUGAACGUCCCCUGACGGUAUCUAACCAGAAAGCCACGGCUAACUACGUGCCAGCAGCCGCGGUAAUACGUAGGUGGCAAGCGUUGUCCGGAUUUAUUGGGCGUAAAGCGAGCGCAGGCGGUUUCUUAAGUCUGAUGUGAAAGCCCCCGGCUCAACCGGGGAGGGUCAUUGGAAGCUGGGAGACUUGAGUGCAGAAGAGGAGAGUGGAAUUCCAUGUGUAGCGGUGAAAUGCGUAGAUAUAUGAAGGAACACCAGUGGCGAAGGCGGCUCUCUGGUCUGUAACUGACGCUGAGGCUCGAAAGCGUGGGGAGCAAACAGG